AUCCCUUCUUCUUAUUUCCCUGGGAUUGUAGUUCAAUUGGUCAGAGCACCGCCCUGUCAAGGCGGAAGCUGCGG
This 74-nucleotide transfer RNA is filed under the name Pastinaca sativa (parsnip). RNAcentral's name for it is "tRNA-Asp". The stretch from base 22 to 74 matches the Rfam family "tRNA", at positions 1 to 50 of the family's 71-position model. From Rfam's summary of the family: Transfer RNA (tRNA) molecules are approximately 80 nucleotides in length. Their secondary structure includes four short double-helical elements and three loops (D, anti-codon, and T loops). Further hydrogen bonds mediate the characteristic L-shaped molecular structure. tRNAs have two regions of fundamental functional importance: the anti-codon, which is responsible for specific mRNA codon recognition, and the 3' end, to which the tRNAs corresponding amino acid is attached (by aminoacyl-tRNA synthetases). tRNAs cope with the degeneracy of the genetic code in two manners: having more than one tRNA (with a specific anti-codon) for a particular amino acid; and 'wobble' base-pairing, i.e. permitting non-standard base-pairing at the 3rd anti-codon position. Lineage: Eukaryota; Viridiplantae; Streptophyta; Magnoliopsida; Apiales; Apiaceae. The record is from RNAcentral.